Molecule: transfer RNA, 76 nt
Filed under: Burkholderiales bacterium
Lineage: Bacteria; Pseudomonadati; Pseudomonadota; Betaproteobacteria; Burkholderiales
Also listed under: 1 other name
Description: tRNA-Thr
Rfam family: tRNA
About the family: Transfer RNA (tRNA) molecules are approximately 80 nucleotides in length.
Source: RNAcentral
GCUGGUGUAGCUCAGUUGGUAGAGCAACUGAUUCGUAAUCAGUAGGUCGGGUGUUCGAGUCACCCCACCAGCACCA